Molecule: ribosomal RNA, 417 nt
Filed under: uncultured bacterium
Lineage: Bacteria
Description: bacterial SSU rRNA
Rfam family: Bacterial small subunit ribosomal RNA
Source: RNAcentral
GAUGAACGCUAGCGGCAGGCUUAACACAUGCAAGUCGAGGGGUAGGUUACUUCGGUAAUUGAGACCGGCGCACGGGUGCGUAACGCGUAUACAAUCUACCUUUUACAGAGGGAUAGCCCAGAGAAAUUUGGAUUAAUACCUCAUAGUAUUUUUGAAUCGCAUGAUUUGAUUAUUAAAGUUCCAACGGUAAAAGAUGAGUAUGCGUCCCAUUAGCUAGAUGGUAAGGUAACGGCUUACCAUGGCUACGAUGGGUAGGGGUCCUGAGAGGGAGAUCCCCCCACACUGGUACUGAGACACGGACCAGACUCCUACGGGAGGCAGCAGUGAGGAAUAUUGGACCAAUGGGCGCAAGCCUGAUCCAGCCAUGCCGCGUGCAGGAUGAAGGCCUUCGGUGUAAACUAGCUUUUGUUACGGAAC